GGGCCCGCACAAGCAGCGGAGCGUGUGGUUUAAUUCGAGGCAACGCGAAGAACCUUACCUGGGCUUGACAUGGGCAUGGUAGUGAAGCGAAAGCGGAACGACCCGCAAGGGAGUGUCCACAGGUGCUGCAUGGCUGUCGUCAGCUCGUGCCGUGAGGUGUUAGGUUAAGUCCUGUAACGAGCGCAACCCUUACUGCCAGUUACAAGUGUCUGGCGGGACUGCCGGUGUGAAACCGGAGGAAGGUGGGGAUGACGUCAAGUCAGCAUGGCCUUUAUGUCCAGGGCGACACACACGCUACAAUGGCCGGUACAGAGGGAUGCGAUACCGCGAGGUGAAGCGAAUCUCACAAAGCCGGUCUUAGUUCGGAUUGCAGGCUGCAACCCGCCUGCAUGAAGCUGGAGUUGCUAGUAACAGCCGGUCAGCCACACGGCUGUGAAUACGUUCCCGGGCCUU
This 453-nucleotide ribosomal RNA is filed under the name uncultured bacterium. RNAcentral describes it as "bacterial SSU rRNA". It matches the Rfam family "Bacterial small subunit ribosomal RNA", at positions 917 to 1382 of the family's 1533-position model. The record is from RNAcentral.